UUCUGUCACUUUGACUUUGCUUUUGAUUAUGAUAGCUGGUUUGCCAUGGAGUCAAUGGUUCUGAGCCUUCAAAAAUUGGAAGCCCUGAUUCUGAAUAUGGUGCUAUUCAGAGAUGGGGACAUUUAGGAAAUUGCUAGAUAGUGGGGGUAGACCUUUCACCCACAUAAUUGAUGUCCACUUAGGAAAAGCCCAGAGACCUCCUUUGAAGAAGACCAUUUCUACAUUUCAGCAGAUCAGCCAGUUACCAAAGGUCAUGGAUGGGAGGGCUGGCGGAGCGUUUCCUGAAGCCCCGGGCCUGACUCCCGGCUCCUGCUCCACUAUGGAAUUUAGUCCUUCUGUCCACAUGGAUCUGCCUUGGAAGGUGAAACUAUGGGUUAAAGAGAACUGAAUAUUAUGGCUUUUGCUGUGAAGCCCAGGCUCAUCUGGUACUUGCCGAGGAGCCUAGGUUGCUCUUCACUUUGCAACUCUCCUCCAGAAAUGCUCUGCCUGCAGGCCUGAAUCACCAUUUCUUGCUUGCACUAUGGUCCUGUUUCACUGAGGCACCCAUCGUGUUUCUCUUAUGGAGCCCACAGACACUUUUUGGUAAAACAUUUGGUCCUUGGUUUAUUUGGACAUGUUUGGUCCCACAUGACUGUUUGGACAAACAGACAAAGCGAACUCUUAAUGAAGAGACUAAUUUCAGGUACCUCUGAACCCACUCUGUGAAGUGUUCUAGGAAGACAGUGCUGAAGGAGACAUAAACAGAGACAGAGCCAGAGACAGAGGCUCAUACCUGAUUUCCAGUGAGAUCUGGAAGCUGUUGUGGCCUUCGGGGUUAUCACAAGUUAGAGGUACUGUCUGCACCCGGAGAGCAAAUGUAGACUGCUGCUUCUCCCAGUGCACGUUGUAUUUCAGCAUCGUCUGGGAGGUAGUGAGCAGAAAUCCUUUACCUCCAUGGCACUGGGCCCUUGGAUCCAUUUCUCCCGAUCUGAGCCCCACGUGUGCAGGCAGGCUAAGGAGACUUCCCCUUCUGGGGAGGAGGCUCACACCACACACCCACAACUUGCCCAGAACCUUACCUGAGCAUACACGCAUCCUUCUCCUGUCACACUGAUUUCAUAGUCCCCAGGAAGGUCAGGUAAAGGGACCUGCUGCAGUAACAGGCGUUUACUCUCCUCUACUUGGAACUUUUGGGAAAAUGUCCCUGAAGAUUGGAUGGUCACCAAAGGAAUUUUCUGACUUCUGGAGAAAGUAACUGCUCCAUACUUGGACAAAGCAUGGAGGGCCACCACAGUGUCCUGAGAGGGAUGAAGAAAACAUUCAGUUUAGCUUCAGUUGGGAAGGGCUUGAGUUCUUCCCAAUGUUCAUUUUAGCUGUGACAAAAGUCUCAUGAGUUUUUGUCUCUAAUCAUUUGAUCUCUAGUCUUUAUUUCAGACUUUAAUUCAGGAUAUAUUGGAAAAUCAAAACAUUCCUAUGAAUUGUCUCCCACACAGAGUGUCCUGGCUUAUGCAAACUCCCCCAGCCAGUGGAAAAUAGAAACACAAAUUAGAUUUUCCUCCCAGCAUUUACUGUUUCUCUCCCUUUGUCCCUGAUUCCCAUGGUGGUGCCACCAUCUUCUCACAAAAUCACAUUCCUGCUCUCAUCCCCAAACUUUCCUCUGCACUUGGGGAGGAAUCAAGAGACACCAACACCAUGGCCGAGUGCUGGUCAUGACUCUCUUAUCAAAUAGAAAACGCUGUGAGCUAGUGUUGUCCUUGGCUGCCUUGCUCCUUGGUGGCAUACUCCAGAGAGGCUCUCUCCCCCAGGAUCCUUCCUCAUCCAAGACAGCUCCAGAUGCUGCCUGACUACAGAGCCCAAAUAGGGAGCAGAAACAGGCAGUGAGGGCUUUAGCAUCACAAUGCGGACAGUAAAGGAAAUUAAGGACUGAAAGAAUUGAAUUAAAAUUGUAGGGUUCCUAGUGUCAUGGAAGGUUUCCCUUUGUACAUUUUAUUUCUCCUUUAGAGAAACCUACCAUCUCACUAAACUUCUCUGGAGAUUAGUUCUGACAUAUGUGCCCAAAAUACCUGGAACAUAAAUCAUUGAUAUUAUGGUAGAUAUGUUUUUUUGUAGAGGGGGAAUAUUAUCUCCUGAGAGUUAUAGUGACCACAUGAUAAGACAUAUGGUUUACAGUCCUAAUAGUUUCCAAUGUCAAGAGGUGAAGCAGGGCAGCAGGAGCUCCUGCUAGCUUGGGGUAAACCUGAGGGCAAUGUAUCCACACAGAAGAUUAGGAGAGUCUGCCAGGAGAAGGGAAACAGCUGUAUGUAAGGGCAGUGGGGCAAUAAAAAGGACAUUUUGAUCCA
Molecule: long non-coding RNA, 2318 nt
Organism: Meriones unguiculatus (Mongolian gerbil)
Lineage: Eukaryota; Metazoa; Chordata; Mammalia; Rodentia; Muridae
Exons: 4
Source: RefSeq, a predicted model, not a curated record